UGGGGAAUAUUGCACAAUGGGCGCAAGCCUGAUGCAGCCAUGCCGCGUGUAUGAAGAAGGCCUUCGGGUUGUAAAGUACUUUCAGCGGGGAGGAAGGGAGUAAAGUUAAUACCUUGGCUCAUUGACGUUACCCGCAGAAGAAGAACGGGCUAACUCCGUGCCAGCAGCCGCGGUAAUACGGAGGGUGCAAGCGUUAAUCGGAAUUACUGGGCGUAAAGCGCACGCAGGCGGUUUGUUAAGUCAGAUGUGAAAUCCCCGGGCUCAACCUGGGAACUGCAUCUGAUACUGGCAAGCUUGAGUCUCGUAGAGGGGGGUAGAAUUCCAGGUGUAGCGGUGAAAUGCGUAGAGAUCUGGAGGAAUACCGGUGGCGAAGGCGGCCCCCUGGACGAAGACUGACGCUCAGGUGCGAAAGCGUGGGGAGCAAACAGG
Molecule: ribosomal RNA, 429 nt
Filed under: Chloroflexota bacterium
Lineage: Bacteria; Bacillati; Chloroflexota
Description: Chloroflexi bacterium partial 16S ribosomal RNA
Rfam family: Bacterial small subunit ribosomal RNA
Source: RNAcentral